This is a non-coding RNA of Balearica regulorum gibbericeps (East African grey crowned-crane), 449 nucleotides long. NCBI's taxonomy places the organism in Eukaryota, Metazoa, Chordata, Aves, Gruiformes, Gruidae. The record is from the annotation of a RefSeq genome assembly.
CCGGGACUUCCCCGCCGGCCAUCUGGCGUCGGGACUCUACACCUUGGGGAGUCAACUGACGGUCACCUCCGGCAACCCCACCCGUCUGCAGUGCGCCGUCCGGCACCCGGCCUCCGGCUACAGUCGGACCACCGAUGUCCCAGUUUCCGUCGCCCAGGCCCCCACCGUUGGUUUCUUCCACGCUUGCGACAUGUCCUCGGUCCAGCUCGUUUGUCUCGUCAACCACUUCUCCCCGGCCAAGGUGACGGUGGAGUGGUUGGUCGAUGGCUUCCCGGUCUACCCCACCCCUCAGUCCGAGCCCGUGGAACCCGAGGCCACCGGUAGGACCUUCCGGACCAGCUCUCACCUCAACGUCUCCUUGGAGGAGUGGCAGCAGAAGAGCUACAGCUGCAAGGUCACCCACCCCGCGUCCAGCAGCACGCAGGAGGUCGUCGGCCACAAGUGCUUGA